Molecule: ribosomal RNA, 254 nt
Filed under: uncultured bacterium
Lineage: Bacteria
Description: partial 16S ribosomal RNA
Rfam family: Bacterial small subunit ribosomal RNA
Source: RNAcentral
GACGUAGGGCGCGAGCGUUGUCCGGAUUUAUUGGGCGUAAAGAGCUCGUAGGCGGUCUGUCGCGUCGGUCGUGAAAACUUGGGGCUUAACCCUGAGCUUGCGGUCGAUACGGGCAUGACUGGAGUUCGGCAGGGGAGACUGGAAUUCCUGGUGUAGCGGUGAAAUGCGCAGAUAUCAGGAGGAACACCGGUGGCGAAGGCGGAUCUCUGGGCCAUUACUGACGCUGAGGAGCGAAAGCGUGGGGAGCGAACAGG